This 170-nucleotide long non-coding RNA is filed under the name Calidris pugnax (ruff). RNAcentral's name for it is "lncRNA (ENSCPUG00000005299.1)". Lineage: Eukaryota; Metazoa; Chordata; Aves; Charadriiformes; Scolopacidae. The record is from RNAcentral.
UCCCUCACGUCAUUGUGGAAAAGCAUUGAGAGGCGGAAGCAGAGGGAGCUGAAUGUUUCUACUACUUUUCAGGUAAGACUAACUGAUAAACCUAUAAAAGAAGAGAAUAAAUUUAUUUUUGCUUUUAAUUGCUAAUGAUUUCUUAGCUAUAUGAAAACGUGGGGAGGAGA